GUCCCUGUAGUGUAAUGGAUAGCGUGUUGGACUUUUAAUCCAAAGGUAGUGGCUUCGAAUCCCACCUGGGAUG
This 73-nucleotide transfer RNA is filed under the name Trichonephila inaurata madagascariensis. It matches the Rfam family "tRNA". From Rfam's summary of the family: Transfer RNA (tRNA) molecules are approximately 80 nucleotides in length. Their secondary structure includes four short double-helical elements and three loops (D, anti-codon, and T loops). The record is from Rfam by way of RNAcentral. Lineage: Eukaryota; Metazoa; Arthropoda; Arachnida; Araneae; Nephilidae.